This 1280-nucleotide long non-coding RNA is filed under the name Felis catus (domestic cat). RNAcentral's name for it is "lncRNA (ENSFCAG00000048193.1)". Lineage: Eukaryota; Metazoa; Chordata; Mammalia; Carnivora; Felidae. The record is from RNAcentral.
GGUGGAGGAGGUGGAGGAGGUGGAGGAGGUGGAGGAGGUGGAGGAGGUGGAGGAGGUGGAGGAGGUGGAGGAGGUGGAGGAGGUGGAGGAGGUGGAGGAGGUGGAGGAAGGGUACCUGGAGUACCGGCAGGUGCCCGGCAGCGAGCCCGCACGCUACGAGUUCCUGUGGGGUCCCAGGGCCCACGCAGAAACCAGUGGCGUGCAAGUGCUGCAGCACUUCCUCGCGGUCAACAGCAGGCAGCCCGGGUCUCCGUGUCUGUCCGAAGAGGCUGUGAGCCAUGAGGAAGAGCGGGCCUGAGCCCGAGGGGCAGCCGGGCCCGUUCCCACCUGGGGUCGAGCAGCUUCUCCUGCGGGGCACGAAGCCAGGCCACUUCUCCCCUGCGAGUGCGAGCAGAGCGGGCGCUGGGCGUUAAGGUUUCGUGAGCUUCGGGCUCAGUGUGGGAGUGGCACCCACGCCACAGGUGUUCAAGAGUCAGAGUUGUGCCGUUUGGUGCAACGAGCUGGGAACCUCAGUCUGGGAUGCCUGGUUCGGGCCGGCAGAGAGAAGGGGCCCGGCCGGGCAGCAAGGCGUGCACGUCGACAUGUGAGGGAGCACGGCCGGCCCCCCCAUCCCGGAAUCCAGGUCAGUCCAGCCGGCAGCCCGAGAGACCCCGGCAGGGUGGUCAGGCGGAGCCCUCCUCCCAGCGGGGCUAAGGGUGGUAGACUCGGGGCCCCAGAGGGACGGGCCCAGGCUCUUCCUGGAGCUGGUGUCUGGACCUGAGGGAGAGCGGUAGGGCCUACUACACCCACCCACCCUGGGUAGAGGCAGGCGCUCAGGCCCCGCUGAGGCCGGGGUUUCUGGAGAGGGCGGCCGCAGGCUGUGUCCACUCAACUGUACCUCGGGGGUUUGAGGGAGCCGAGGACCUUGGGGUGAGGGACAGGAUCCCAGGUCAGAAAGGGCAGGGGCACGGGCCGGGCUAGGGAGUCCAGGUGGGGACAUGGGGGGCGGACCGAAGGACUCAGGUCCCUAGGACACACAGAAGGAACCUGCCAGAGUUCGGGCACCCGCGUCCUUCUGUGAAGGGCCAUGGGCAGGAUGGGCAUUUGGGUGGAUGAGUCGGGCCAGACUUCCACAGUGGAGUCUCACAGACACGGGGUGUGUGUGUGUGUGUGUGUGUGUGUGUGUGUGUGUGUGUGUGUGUGUGUGUGUGUGUGUGUGUGUGUGUGUGUGUGUGUGUGUGUGUGUGUGUGUGUGUGUGUGUGUGUGUGUGUGUGUGUGUGUGUGUGUGUGUGUGUGUGUG